UGUUUCAACCAUCACCAUCUCUCUCUUUCGGAGGUCUUAUUUGGCACGAAUGAUCUGCAAAAAGUCUCUAAUUAGAGGUGACUCCAAUAAAGAUUCUUUGACACUCAAGUCAAAAUUUCAUUCCACAGAAGAAAGAGCGUGAGAGGCAGAGUGAUUGCAUACCUUCUCGUGGAUCUUUUUUAAAUUUCUUUUAUAGCAGAGAAUUGGAACUUCAGUUGACAAGUUGGUUGGCACGAUCCUAUAUAAUCAAGACAUGAUUCGUUGGGUUGUCAUUCGAUAUUUUCGAGAUGUGGCGAAUAUGGUUGCCUUAUCAGUCUAACGACAGCUGUUGCCUCGUAGGUGUCGUGUUUUGAAUGG
Molecule: long non-coding RNA, 357 nt
Filed under: Elaeis guineensis (African oil palm)
Lineage: Eukaryota; Viridiplantae; Streptophyta; Magnoliopsida; Arecales; Arecaceae
Description: long non-coding RNA (EGUI_LNC011918)
Source: RNAcentral